GAAGAAGGGAGUAAACUGCUUCCUUUGAGAACUGGGGAAUUUGGUGUCUGAAAUUGCAGAAUCACAGAACGUGCUGAGUUGGAAGGGACCCACAGGGAUCGCAGAGUCCAACUCCUGGCCCUGCACAGGAGCAUCAGCAACAGAGCAUCAUCGUAUCUGUGCCCAGGAGUGAUGAGCACCUUGUGGCCUUUGGGUGCUUUAACUCCUCUGGAGACAGCCACAUGAAGAAGUCAGGAAAGAAGAAAAAAAGAUGACCUUCCAGUAGUUUAUUACUGUUUAUGCCAAUGUCUGGACUCCAAACCACCCUGGAGCAAAAAGCUCUGUGCCACACACUGGCUUUUGGAAGCUUUGGCUCUCAAAUCCAACAGUUUGACCCAUUCCAUACUGACCUGCUGGAAUCCAAGGGGAAGGAGUGAGGCUGACAACAUGCUCUGCUACACUCUAAAUUAUCACUCAGGAAGGAGCUCUUGGAGCCAUUUGGGGAGAGUUCUGGGACUGUUCAGGAGCUGUCAAAAAGGCAAGAAGAACCCUGAGAAUGAAGAGGAGGCAAAAAAGAAAGUAUUUGUGGUAAAACAUGAAGAGGUGGCCAAAGGUGUCCAUAAACAAAAAGUUGGUUAAGAAGGUUGGACUACAGCUGCCCUGAAAGCUCUUCCAUUAAAAGCAAAUCCAUCUCAUUGCCCAUAUGAGGCAGAAGAUCACGAAGAAGUAGCUGGAUCCUUACAUGACACCCCAGUGAGCCUUGGGAGAUGGAGGGGGCAGUUGGCAUUGAGUUGAUUCCGGAGUUAUUUCCUGAUUAUGGAUUAAUUCUUGCCUUACUAAGAUCAGUAUUGAAACACCAAGC
Long non-coding RNA from Zonotrichia albicollis (white-throated sparrow), 841 nucleotides. RefSeq lists it as uncharacterized. NCBI's taxonomy places the organism in Eukaryota, Metazoa, Chordata, Aves, Passeriformes, Passerellidae. The record is from RefSeq and is a predicted model, not a curated record.